This 117-nucleotide ribosomal RNA is filed under the name Bifidobacterium adolescentis. Lineage: Bacteria; Bacillati; Actinomycetota; Actinomycetes; Bifidobacteriales; Bifidobacteriaceae. The record is from RNAcentral. RNAcentral also lists the same sequence under 10 other names.
UGCGGCGGCCAUGGCCCAGGAGAGACGCCCGGUCCCAUUCCGAACCCGGAAGCUAAGACCUGGCACGGCGAUGGUACUGCACCCGACAGGGUGUGGGAGAGUAGCACGCCGCCGCAC